This is a long non-coding RNA of Cebus imitator (Panamanian white-faced capuchin), 298 nucleotides long. RefSeq lists it as uncharacterized. The record is from RefSeq and is a predicted model, not a curated record. The transcript is spliced from 3 exons. NCBI's taxonomy places the organism in Eukaryota, Metazoa, Chordata, Mammalia, Primates, Cebidae.
AUAGACUCUCGCCAUGUUACUCAAGCUAGUCUCGAUUUCCUGGCCUCAAGUGAUCCUCCUGCCUCUGCCUCCCCAAAUGCUGGGAUUACAGGAGUCUGGCCACAGAUAAGGGACCAAAAUGACUGACUCAAAAUAUUUCACCACAACCAAGAAAGUGAGAUUGACACACGCCUGCCAACCAGAUGAAACGAGUCUGUUACUGGAUCAGCUGAGCCAGGACCUGAAGCCUCCCCCUCAUCAGGCAUUUCAAGUAUUGGACUAGCUGGGUUUUUUUCUUCUUUUGAGAUCGAGUUUUGCU